GUUUGAGGCAUAUGCAAAGGAGCAGAAGGAGGACCAGGCCAGAGAGUUUCUGCAGCAGAUGAAGCAGAAGGGAUUUGUGCCUGAUGAGAAGGCUGUCCGGGAGGUUCUGGACAAGAGGGGUCAGGUAUUUAGAACUGUCAUCAACAUUCUGUUCAACAAGUAGUUGUUCUAGUAAUUUUAUUCUAGGCAUCAAAGUUUUGGAUUUUGACCAUGGACUAGUUUAAUUGUAACGAUUACAAUUUUUUUUUUUGGGGUG
RNAcentral lists this unclassified non-coding RNA (256 nucleotides) under Hevea brasiliensis (rubber tree). Lineage: Eukaryota; Viridiplantae; Streptophyta; Magnoliopsida; Malpighiales; Euphorbiaceae. The record is from RNAcentral.